Long non-coding RNA from Poecilia reticulata (guppy), 373 nucleotides. RefSeq lists it as uncharacterized. NCBI's taxonomy places the organism in Eukaryota, Metazoa, Chordata, Actinopteri, Cyprinodontiformes, Poeciliidae. The record is from RefSeq and is a predicted model, not a curated record.
UAUGUUGGAACAAAACACAGAAUAAAACUUUUUUUUUCUUCACAGUGGUUCUCGUGUCCCAGGCUCCACCACAGGAGCUCCAUGUCUUCACCUCUACAAUAUGUGGCAGAUGAGAUAAAAUCCGCAGGAUGUCGUGUCCAGUGGAGGAGUGUAAGUGCUUCGUGUUUCAGCUGGACAAGCAGUUGGAGCAACAAUAGAAAAUGAAGUUUAACACACAAAGGGAGGAGUGAACAUAAGAUGUAGAAAAUGAAGCAGGCCUGAAUCAAUGAGGGUGUUGAAGAAAGUAAAGGCCUGCAGUGGACCUGAGGAGAGGCCCGUCCCUGACUGGUUGAUGGGCCGGAUGGUGUGGCACAUUUUAUUUUAAAUGUUUAUU